RNAcentral lists this ribosomal RNA (253 nucleotides) under bacterium. RNAcentral describes it as "partial 16S ribosomal RNA". It matches the Rfam family "Bacterial small subunit ribosomal RNA", at positions 524 to 776 of the family's 1533-position model. The record is from RNAcentral. RNAcentral also lists the same sequence under 1 other name.
UACGAAGGGUGCAAGCGUUACUCGGAAUUACUGGGCGUAAAGCGUGCGUAGGCGGUUUGUUAAGUCUGAUGUGAAAUCCCCGGGCUCAACCUGGGACCUGCAUUGGAUACUGGCGAGCUAGAGUACGGUAGAGGGUGGUGGAAUUCCCGGUGUAGCAGUGAAAUGCGUAGAGAUCGGGAGGAACACUCGUGGCGAAGGCGGCCACCUGGACCAGUACUGACGCUGAGGCACGAAAGCGUGGGGAGCAAACAGG